GUGUGCAGUGCUUUUCACAAGAAAGUGUCAUUCAUGUGUACUGAAAUAUGAGUGGCAUUUUCUUGCGAAGAGCAAUGUACAG
MicroRNA precursor from Cavia porcellus (domestic guinea pig), 82 nucleotides. The record is from Rfam. NCBI's taxonomy places the organism in Eukaryota, Metazoa, Chordata, Mammalia, Rodentia, Caviidae.